AAAAAGGCGCCUUUGCACGAGCCUAGAGCCCGAGCCUUGAGCUGACGGCGCGGUUAUUCCUGUUCGGUGUACGUGUAAUUGCUAAAAUUGCUUAUGUGACACCACGAGGAGCGUGCAGUCUCAUUCAUCGAAGAUUAAUCGUUAUUGCCCCAGGCGAAUACGAUUUUAUCAAUUUCUACGGGCAAAUAAAGCGAAAGACAAUGCAGUUUCAAAUAACAACCCAGAUUGGUUUUCGCGUUCUUCCUACCGCACAAACCCCUCCUUUGGAACAUCUUUUUUUUAAUAGACACCGACUUUGAACCCAACGGAAAAUCAGAAACGCUCCUAUCACAUUUCUAUCUAGUCCCUUCACUGGCGAAACCAAUCAUUCACCGUGACACUUUUCUUAGUUCCGAGGGCGCACCCCAACUCAAGUAUCUACUCUGACGUUAACCACCUUACCCCCAAAGAUUCAUCGUAGACGGGUUUGCGUCAAGACCAAAAAACUGUCUCCUUCAGUUUCAGAAUAAAAUGUACAUAUAUCUAGAUUCAAGAUACAAAUAUAAAAGCAGACAGAUUCGCCUGAUGCAUUGUGAAAUAUAUAAUAUUAUUAUUACAGUAAAUGUUGAAUAUACACUGGAAUUGUUAAAUACUUCUUAAAUGAUUUUAUACAAUGUGAAUAAGAUAUACUUUAAAUUUCCUUUGAUUCAAAUAACUAGGGUUUUAGAUUUUAAAAAAAUUUUUCUGAACCAUUCCUCAACUGCCUGGAAUACCUGUUGUGGCUUAAUUUUAUCCGUGAGCUAAAUUCUAUUUUAGUUUUUGUCUACGUCAUAUGAUUCCCAAGGCUACUAUACUCUAAAAAAGGGGCAAUAAAUGUAGAGUGAGGAUAAAACAGCAAUAAAGCAUAUACUCAUACUUCACAACUAA
Molecule: long non-coding RNA, 906 nt
Organism: Pocillopora damicornis (cauliflower coral)
Lineage: Eukaryota; Metazoa; Cnidaria; Anthozoa; Scleractinia; Pocilloporidae
Source: RefSeq, a predicted model, not a curated record